This 698-nucleotide non-coding RNA is filed under the name Eucalyptus grandis. RNAcentral describes it as "Bacterial large subunit ribosomal RNA". It matches the Rfam family "Bacterial large subunit ribosomal RNA", at positions 1351 to 2032 of the family's 2925-position model. Lineage: Eukaryota; Viridiplantae; Streptophyta; Magnoliopsida; Myrtales; Myrtaceae. The record is from Rfam by way of RNAcentral.
AUUUAGGCGAAGGGACUAGGUAGAUUGAGGCGGUGAAGAUAAGAAAUUUGUGACGGAAUCUCUUUAGGCCAAAUUGUGUAUUCGAUUGUCAACAAGUGAAUAUUUCCAUGCUACCUUGGGCUCGAAGGACAGAGUAGUCUAGGUUACGCAAAUGGUGAUUAUCUAUUCCAGGAUGGAAGGUGCCCUUGCUUUUUUUAGAGUAAGAAGGGUUAGAGAAAACAUCUCAAGCCUGUGCUCAAGUAUCAAGUGCUAUGGCAUUGAAGUAGCCAAAGCCAUACUUCUAGGAAAAGCUUGAACAACCUUCAACAAUAGGGCACCUGUACCUAAAAUUGACACAGGAGGGUAGGUAGAUACUACCUAGAGAUGGGAGACGACUCUCUAUAAGUAACCUAACAAAAUAGCCUCAUAACUUCGAGAAAAGGGGCGCCCCUCACAAACGAGGUUGCAAUGACCAAGGUCAAGCGAUUGCUUACCAAUAACAUAAGUCUACGGAAAAUUGUAAGUCAAGUUGGGAGCUGACACUUGCCUAGUAUCACGAGGUCAAGAGUGACCUAAUGAUAGAAGAGUCAACAACUGAGGUCUUGGUGAAUGGCAGCCGUUACUAUAAUGGUCCCAUGAUAGCACAACUUCUUGUUGGGUAAGUUUCGAACCGCACAAAUGGUGCAAUGAUCUAAGGAUUAUCUCGGAGAGAGAUAGCC